CCCUUAGAUGUUCUGGGCCACACGCGCGUUACACUGAUGAAGCCAGCGAGUAUAUCGCCUUCACCGGAAGGUGCGGGUAAUCUUGUGAAACUUCAUCGUGCUGGGGAUAGACCAUUGCAAUUAUUGGUCUUGAACGAGGAAUUCCUAGUAAGCAUGAGUCAUCAACUCGUGCUGAUUACGUCCCUGCCCUUUGUACACACCGCCCGUCGCUACUACCGAUUGAAUGGUUUAGUGAGAUCUCGGGAUUGGAGACGUUGCGCCGCAAGGCACAUCGUCCCCGAGAACUUGAUCAAACUUGAUCAUUUAGAGGAAGUAAAAGUCGUAACA
This 327-nucleotide ribosomal RNA is filed under the name uncultured eukaryote. RNAcentral's name for it is "partial 18S ribosomal RNA". It matches the Rfam family "Eukaryotic small subunit ribosomal RNA", at positions 1470 to 1796 of the family's 1831-position model. The record is from RNAcentral.